UUGAAGGCUGAAAUUCGCCUUCAUGAAGUCGGAAUUGCUAGUAAUGGCAGGUCAGCAUACUGCCGUGAAUACGUUCCCGGGCCUUGUACACACCGCCCGUCACACCAUGAGAGUUGGAGAUACCCGAAGCCUAUGAGCUAACUUUUAGAGGCAGUAGUCGAAGGUAGAAUCAAUGAUUGGGGUGAAGUCGUAACAAGGUACC
Molecule: ribosomal RNA, 202 nt
Filed under: uncultured bacterium
Lineage: Bacteria
Description: partial 16S ribosomal RNA
Rfam family: Bacterial small subunit ribosomal RNA
Source: RNAcentral